CAGUCGCCGCGGUAAUACAGAGGGUGCAAGCGUUAAUCGGAAUUACUGGGCGUAAAGCGCGCGUAUGUGGUUUGUUAAGUUGGAUGUGAAAUCCCCGGGCUCAACCUGGGAACUGCAUCCAAAACUGGCAAGCUAGAGUAUGGUAGAGGGUGGUGGAAUUUCCUGUGUAGCGGUGAAAUGCGUAGAUAUAGGAAGGAACACCAGUGGCGAAGGCGACCACCUGGACUGAUACUGACACUGAGGUGCGAAAGCGUGGGGAGCAAACAGGAUUAGAUACCCCAGUAGUCCCUGUCUCUUAUAC
RNAcentral lists this ribosomal RNA (301 nucleotides) under uncultured bacterium. Its description in RNAcentral is "partial 16S ribosomal RNA". It matches the Rfam family "Bacterial small subunit ribosomal RNA", at positions 509 to 807 of the family's 1533-position model. The record is from RNAcentral.